GGUUGUGGCUCAGUGGUAGAGCACUUGCUUAGCAUGUGUGAGGCACUGGGUUCAAUUCUCAGCACCA
This 67-nucleotide transfer RNA is filed under the name Marmota marmota marmota (Alpine marmot). It matches the Rfam family "tRNA". From Rfam's summary of the family: Transfer RNA (tRNA) molecules are approximately 80 nucleotides in length. Their secondary structure includes four short double-helical elements and three loops (D, anti-codon, and T loops). The record is from Rfam by way of RNAcentral. Lineage: Eukaryota; Metazoa; Chordata; Mammalia; Rodentia; Sciuridae. RNAcentral also lists the same sequence under 1 other name.